Molecule: ribosomal RNA, 589 nt
Filed under: uncultured archaeon
Lineage: Archaea
Description: bacterial SSU rRNA
Rfam family: Archaeal small subunit ribosomal RNA
Source: RNAcentral
GGAAUGGAUCAUGGCUGAAAUCUACAUGGCCCCUGGAUUGGACUGCGGCCGAUCAGGCUGUUGGUGAGGUAAUGGCCCACCAAACCUGUAACCGGUACGGGCUCUGAGAGGAGGAGCCCGGAGAUGGGCACUGAGACAAGGGCCCAGGCCCUAUGGGGCGCAGCAGGCGCGAAACCUCUGCAAUAGGCGAAAGCUUGACAGGGUUACUCUGAGUGAUGCCCGUUAAGGGCAUCUUUUGGCACUUCUAAAAAUAGUGUAGAAUAAGGGGUGGGCAAGUCUGGUGUCAGCCGCCGCGGUAAUACCAGCACCCCGAGUGGUCGGGACGAUNAUUGGGCCUAAAGCAUCCGUAGCCGGUUCUGCAAGUCUUCCGUUAAAUCCACCUGCUCAACAGAUGGGCCGCGGGGGAUACUACAGGGCUAGGAGGCGGGAGAGGCAAGCGGUACUCGGUGGGUAGGGGUAAAAUCCUCUGAUCCACCGAGGACCACCAGUGGCGAAGGCGGCUUGCCAGAACGCGCUCGACGGUGAGGGAUGAAAGCUGGGGGAGCAAACCGGAUUAGAUACCCGGGUAGUCCCAGCUGUAAACGAUGCA